GUUCGAGGAGUCACAAGAAGGCCAAUGCACCUGCAGUCCAGAAAGUGAAGAAGAGAGUGGUAGGAGAUGGGGGCGCGUUGAGCAGUGGUGACUCGGCACCCUGGGGGAUAAGAGGUCAUUGGUGGGUUUCUAGUGGGGGACUAACAUCAGAUCCACGUCGGCACAAGCCCCGCCUCUGCGCUCUGGGGCGGUCUGGUCCCCAAGGCCUCCCACACUCGUCACUGCUGGUCUGGGAAGAGGACACCAGUUUGCGCUUCACCACACGGUCAGCCCUCGGAGGCAGCCAGUCUCCGAGAGGCCGGGCUUUGGUCCUACCCCAGGCGGUCUCGCCCCCAGGAGACCCUCGGCAGUUUCUGGAGAUGUUUCUGGUGGUCACACUCGGGGUGAGUGUCCCUGGGGUCGGCAGUGGAGCCAGGAGGCUGCUCCGUGUGCUGCGGGCACGGCUGGCCCAGCAGGGAAGGUCCAGCUCACAGUGCACUAGCGCUGGGGCGAGAUCCUGAUCCCUCUGUCUACUCACUUCUGUUUCAGAUUUCACCUUCUUUCCCAUUUUUGUGUCUUUAGGUGCAUGCGUGUGUGUAUAUUACAUUCUACAGUCAUGUACGGCAUAUACGCCUGACUGCAUAUACAGUGACGGUCCCAUGAGAUUAAUACCACACAGCCCAGAUGUGUAGCAGGCUAUACCAUCCAGGUUUGGGAUGGGACAGAGCGUGGCAGAGACGACUGCAGCCCUGCCUCUCCCCCGUCUGCUCCCCUUCUCCCUCACCCAGGAGGAUGGAGUCCAUGGCCACAAGCCUUUGUCUUUCUCAGGCUCUGCCCAUUGGAUGAGGAGCCUGAAGCACAGCGAGCUUAAGUGACUGGCCUUGGGGCGCACAGCUAAUUACCCCAGAUUCAAACAGAGCCAAACCAUCGGUGGAAACAGCGAGGCUUUGUCUUGGCGAUUCUGUGGGGAUGCACACCCCCCGUAGCGCCGCCUUCGCCGAUGCUCAGCACACCGCAGACGCCUCAGCGCACCGAAAGAAACAUAGAAUGGGACAGCCGCCUCGACCGGUUCUGCGGAAACAAAGCCAUCAAUAUUGUUUUAAAUUUCGC
RNAcentral lists this long non-coding RNA (1089 nucleotides) under Equus caballus (horse). Its description in RNAcentral is "lncRNA (ENSECAG00000047136.1)". The record is from RNAcentral. Lineage: Eukaryota; Metazoa; Chordata; Mammalia; Perissodactyla; Equidae.